This 800-nucleotide ribosomal RNA is filed under the name uncultured Alphaproteobacteria bacterium. RNAcentral's name for it is "bacterial SSU rRNA". It matches the Rfam family "Bacterial small subunit ribosomal RNA", at positions 35 to 883 of the family's 1533-position model. Lineage: Bacteria; Pseudomonadati; Pseudomonadota; Alphaproteobacteria. The record is from RNAcentral.
GCUGGCGGCAUGCCUCAUACAUGCAAGUCGAACGAAGCCUUCGGGCUUAGUGGCGCACGGGUGAGUAACAUGUGGGAAUCUACCUAAAGGUUCGGAAUAACUGCGGGAAACUGUAGCUAAUACCGGAUGUGUCUGCAAAGAGAAAGAUUUAUCGCCUUUAGAUGAGCCCGCACUAGAUUAGCUAGUUGGUGAGGUAACUGCUCCACCAAGGCUUCGAUCUAUAGCUGAUUUGAGAGGAUGAUCAGCCACACUGGGACUGAGACACGGCCCAGACUCCUACGGGAGGCAGCAGUAGGGAAUAUUGGACAAUGGGGGAAACCCUGAUCCAGCAAUGCCGCGUGAGUGAAGAAGGCCUUCGGGUUGUAAAACUCUUUCAUCAAUGAUGAUAAUGACAUUAGUUGAAGAAGAAGCUCCGGCUAACUUCGUGCCAGCAGCCGCGGUAAUACGAAGGGGGCUAGCGUUGUUCGGAAUCACUGGGCGUAAAGCGUAUGUAGGCGGAUCAAAAAGUUAGAUGUGAAAUCCCUGGGCUCAACCCAGGAACUGCAUUUAAAACUAGUGAUCUAGAAAUUGGUAAAGGUUAGUAGAAUUUCCAGUGUAGAGGUGAAAUUCGUAGAUAUUGGAAAGAAUACCAGAAGCGAAGGCGACUAACUAGGCCAUUUUUGACGCUGAGAUACGAAAGCGUGGGUAGCAAACAGGAUUAGAUACCCUGGUAGUCCACGCAGUAAACGAUGAGUGCUAGUCGCUGGUACAAUAGUAUCAGUGUCGAAGCUAACGCAUUAAGCACUCCGCCUGGGAAGUAC